UGCAGUCGAGCGCACCCUUCGGGGCGAGCGGCGGACGGGUUAGUAACGCGUGGGAAUGUACCCUUCUCUAUGGAAUAGCCUCGGGAAACUGAGAGUAAUACCAUAUACGCCCUUCGGGGGAAAGAUUUAUCGGAGAAGGAUCAGCCCGCGUAAGAUUAGAUAGUUGGUGGGGUAAUGGCCUACCAAGUCUACGAUCUUUAGCUGGUUUUAGAGGAUGAUCAGCAACACUGGGACUGAGACACGGCCCAGACUCCUACGGGAGGCAGCAGUGGGGAAUCUUAGACAAUGGGCGCAAGCCUGAUCUAGCCAUGCCGCGUGUGUGAUGAAGGCCUUAGGGUCGUAAAGCACUUUCGCCAGGGAUGAUAAUGACAGUACCUGGUAAAGAAACCCCGGCUAACUCCGUGCCAGCUGCCGCGGUAAU
Molecule: ribosomal RNA, 421 nt
Filed under: Sulfitobacter guttiformis
Lineage: Bacteria; Pseudomonadati; Pseudomonadota; Alphaproteobacteria; Rhodobacterales; Roseobacteraceae
Description: bacterial SSU rRNA
Rfam family: Bacterial small subunit ribosomal RNA
Source: RNAcentral